GACGAACGCUGGCGGCGUGCUUAACACAUGCAAGUCGAACGGAAAGGCCCUGCUUUUGUGGGGUGCUCGAGUGGCGAACGGGUGAGUAACACGUGAGUAACCUGCCCUUGACUUUGGGAUAACUUCAGGAAACUGGGGCUAAUACCGGAUAGGAGCUCCUGCUGCAUGGUGGGGGCUGGAAAGUUUCGGCGGUUGGGGAUGGACUCGCGGCUUAUCAGCUUGUUGGUGGGGUAGUGGCUUACCAAGGCUUUGACGGGUAGCCGGCCUGAGAGGGUGACCGGCCACAUUGGGACUGAGAUACGGCCCAGACUCCUACGGGAGGCAGCAGUGGGGAAUAUUGCACAAUGGGCGGAAGCCUGAUGCAGCAACGCCGCGUGCGGGAUGACGGCCUUCGGGUUAUAAACCGCUUUCGCCUGUGACGAAGCGUGAGUGACGGUAAUGGGUAAAGAAGCACCGGCUAACUACGUG
This 468-nucleotide ribosomal RNA is filed under the name uncultured bacterium. RNAcentral describes it as "partial 16S ribosomal RNA". It matches the Rfam family "Bacterial small subunit ribosomal RNA", at positions 28 to 507 of the family's 1533-position model. The record is from RNAcentral.